GUGGGCUCCCUCCCCACUCAGAGACCGCCCCCCUCACCCCGUGGGUUUUAGUUGUACACAGGUGUAGCUCCCAACCUUGAUUUCAUCUGCAGACCAAGUAUCUGGCUCAGUCACCUGCCAGCCUAGGACUCUACAGAAAGGAACUAACGACUUGAUGCCUCAUUUCCAUCUGUGAAAUGGGGCUGGUAAUGCCACAUGGCUUAGAGCAGUGCCAGACCUAAACCAGCAUCCAAAGGGGGUGAGCUCUUCUUGCCAUCACGUCAGUGAUCCCUGCGCAUGCUUCCCCGCCCAGGGGUCUCACCCUUACAGUGGCUCAUGAUACUCACGGAUUUUCAGAUAGUUCCAGAAGACAUAGAGGAAAUGACAACCUUCGAGGCGAGGGACUGAGAAAAAGCACUCCCUUUUAUGGAAGAGAAUACUGCUUCCCAAGGACGUGAACUGACUUGCCCAAGGUCGUCUAGACAUCAACAAAGAGGCCAACCAGGCCGUUACCCCGCCAUUCUACCGCACAAGGGCCUCCCCAGUCUAGGUCUGCCCAUAAGGGGGUGCACAGACACUCCCACGUUGUGUGUUUUGUUCUAUUUGUGCAUUUCCCAGCCCGCCACCCAGGGACCAACUUUCCCCUUCUUUGCGGGUCCUCACUAGCCCUGACCCUGACCCGCCAUAAUCUUAGACCCAUGGUAAGUGGCCAACAAGUUGUUGUUGCUCCAAGUAAUUGAAGUAAUUAAGCACGCCCGGGUAUUGCAUUAAAGUGACAACUUACCUAA
Long non-coding RNA from Suricata suricatta (meerkat), 767 nucleotides. RefSeq lists it as uncharacterized. Lineage: Eukaryota; Metazoa; Chordata; Mammalia; Carnivora; Herpestidae. The transcript is spliced from 2 exons. The record is from RefSeq and is a predicted model, not a curated record.